CGUGUAGGCGGGAGGGAAAGUCAGAUGUGAAAUCCCCAGGCUCAACCUGGGAACUGCAUUUGAAACUCCCCUUCUUGAGUACCGGAGAGGAAAGUGGAAUUCCUGGUGUAGAGGUGAAAUUCGUAGAUAUCAGGAGGAACACCAGUGGCGAAGGCGGCUUUCUGGACGGUAACUGACGCUGAGACGCGAAAGCGUGGGGAGAAACA
RNAcentral lists this ribosomal RNA (206 nucleotides) under uncultured bacterium. Its description in RNAcentral is "partial 16S ribosomal RNA". It matches the Rfam family "Bacterial small subunit ribosomal RNA", at positions 568 to 773 of the family's 1533-position model. The record is from RNAcentral.